GAUGAACGCUGGCGGCGUGCCUAAUACAUGCAAGUCGAGCGAACAGACGAGGAGCUUGCUCCUCUGACGUUAGCGGCGGACGGGUGAGUAACACGUGGAUAACCUACCUAUAAGACUGGGAUAACUUCGGGAAACCGGAGCUAAUACCGGAUAAUAUAUUGAACCGCAUGGUUCAAUAGUGAAAGACGGUUUUGCUGUCACUUAUAGAUGGAUCCGCGCCGCAUUAGCUAGUUGGUAAGGUAACGGCUUACCAAGGCGACGAUGCGUAGCCGACCUGAGAGGGUGAUCGGCCACACUGGAACUGAGACACGGUCCAGACGCCUACGGGAGGCAGCAGUAGGGAAUCUUCCGCAAUGGGCGAAAGCCUGACGGAGCAACGCCGCGUGAGUGAUGAAGGUCUUCGGAUCGUAAAACUCUGUUAUUAGGGAAGAACAAAUGUGUAAGUAACUAUGCACGUCUUGACGGUACCUAAUCAGAAAGCCACGGCUAACUACGUG
Molecule: ribosomal RNA, 497 nt
Filed under: uncultured bacterium
Lineage: Bacteria
Description: partial 16S ribosomal RNA
Rfam family: Bacterial small subunit ribosomal RNA
Source: RNAcentral